This 88-nucleotide transfer RNA is filed under the name Alphaproteobacteria bacterium. Its description in RNAcentral is "tRNA-Ser". It matches the Rfam family "tRNA". Rfam says of the family: Transfer RNA (tRNA) molecules are approximately 80 nucleotides in length. The record is from RNAcentral. Lineage: Bacteria; Pseudomonadati; Pseudomonadota; Alphaproteobacteria.
GGAAGCGUGGCAGAGUGGUCUAAUGCAACGGUCUCGAAAACCGUCUGGGCGCAAGCCCUCGGGGGUUCGAAUCCCCCCGCUUCCGCCA